Molecule: ribosomal RNA, 469 nt
Filed under: uncultured bacterium
Lineage: Bacteria
Description: bacterial SSU rRNA
Rfam family: Bacterial small subunit ribosomal RNA
Source: RNAcentral
CGCUGGCGGCGUGCCUAACACAUGCAAGUCGAGCGAGGAGAUUCCUUCGGGAUGAUCCUAGCGGCGGACGGGUGAGUAACACGUGGGCAGCCUGCCUCAUAGAGAGGAAUAGCCUUCCGAAAGGGAGAUUAAUACCUCAUAACAUUGCAGUUUCGCAUGGAACAGCAAUUAAAGGAGCAAUCCGCUAUGAGAUGGGCCCGCGGCGCAUUAGCUAGUUGGUGAGGUAACGGCUCACCAAGGCGACGAUGCGUAGCCGACCUGAGAGGGUGAUCGGCCACAUUUGGGACUGAGACACGGCCCAGACUCCUACGGGAGGCAGCAGUGGGGAAUAUUGCACAAUGGGGGAAACCCUGAUGCAGCCAACGCCGCGUGAGUGAUGACGGCCUUCGGGUUGUAAAGCUCUGUCUUCAGGGACGAUAAUGACGGUACCUGAGGAGGAAGCCACGGCUAACUACGUGCCAGCAGCAGC